UGGGGAAUUUUGGACAAUGGGGGCAACCCUGAUCCAGCCAUGCCGCGUGAGUGAAGAAGGCCUUCGGGUUGUAAAGCUCUUUCAGCCGGGAAGAAAUCACAUGGGUUAAUACCCUGUGUGGAUGACG
RNAcentral lists this ribosomal RNA (127 nucleotides) under uncultured bacterium. RNAcentral's name for it is "partial 16S ribosomal RNA". It matches the Rfam family "Bacterial small subunit ribosomal RNA", at positions 355 to 474 of the family's 1533-position model. The record is from RNAcentral.